This 505-nucleotide ribosomal RNA is filed under the name Shigella flexneri. Its description in RNAcentral is "partial 23S ribosomal RNA". It matches the Rfam family "Bacterial large subunit ribosomal RNA", at positions 2327 to 2827 of the family's 2925-position model. Lineage: Bacteria; Pseudomonadati; Pseudomonadota; Gammaproteobacteria; Enterobacterales; Enterobacteriaceae. The record is from RNAcentral.
CUGGUCGGACAUCAGGAGGUUAGUGCAAUGGCAUAAGCCAGCUUGACUGCGAGCGUGACGGCGCGAGCAGGUGCGAAAGCAGGUCAUAGUGAUCCGGUGGUUCUGAAUGGAAGGGCCAUCGCUCAACGGAUAAAAGGUACUCCGGGGAUAACAGGCUGAUACCGCCCAAGAGUUCAUAUCGACGGCGGUGUUUGGCACCUCGAUGUCGGCUCAUCACAUCCUGGGGCUGAAGUAGGUCCCAAGGGUAUGGCUGUUCGCCAUUUAAAGUGGUACGCGAGCUGGGUUUAGAACGUCGUGAGACAGUUCGGUCCCUAUCUGCCGUGGGCGCUGGAGAACUGAGGGGGGCUGCUCCUAGUACGAGAGGACCGGAGUGGACGCAUCACUGGUGUUCGGGUUGUCAUGCCAAUGGCACUGCCCGGUAGCUAAAUGCGGAAGAGAUAAGUGCUGAAAGCAUCUAAGCACGAAACUUGCCCCGAGAUGAGUUCUCCCUGACCCUUUAAGGGUC